UACGGAGGGGGCAAGCGUUGUUCGGAAUUACUGGGCGUAAAGGGCGCGUAGGCGGUCAGCACAAGUCAGUUGUGAAAUCUCCGGGCUUAACUCGGAAAGGUCAACUGAUACUGUGCGACUAGAGUGCGGAAGGGGCAACUGGAAUUCUCGGUGUAGCGGUGAAAUGCGUAGAUAUCGAGAGGAACACCUGCGGCGAAGGCGGGUUGCUGGGCCGACACUGACGCUGAUGCGCGAAAGCCAGGGGAGCGAACGGG
This 254-nucleotide ribosomal RNA is filed under the name uncultured bacterium. RNAcentral's name for it is "partial 16S ribosomal RNA". It matches the Rfam family "Bacterial small subunit ribosomal RNA", at positions 524 to 776 of the family's 1533-position model. The record is from RNAcentral.